UCCAGUUUUCAUUUUGUGCUCUGGCC
This 26-nucleotide non-coding RNA is filed under the name Mus musculus (house mouse). The record is from RNAcentral. Lineage: Eukaryota; Metazoa; Chordata; Mammalia; Rodentia; Muridae.